RNAcentral lists this non-coding RNA (93 nucleotides) under uncultured Azonexus sp. Lineage: Bacteria; Pseudomonadati; Pseudomonadota; Betaproteobacteria; Rhodocyclales; Azonexaceae. The record is from RNAcentral.
AGCGCUCGGCGGUCAGGGUCAGGCAGAUCAGGCCACGGCCGUACUUGGCCAUGAAAUUGAUGGCUUCCGGCGUGAUGUGUUCGGCGGCCAUGA